GACGAACGCUGGCGGCGUGCCUAAUACAUGCAAGUAGAACGCUGAAGAGAGGAGCUUGCUCUUCUUGGAUGAGUUGCGAACGGGUGAGUAACGCGUAGGUAACCUGCCUGGUGGCGGGGGAUAACUAUUGGAAACGAUAGCUAAUACCGCAUAAAAUGGAUUAUCGCAUGAUAAUCCAUUGAAAGGUGCAAAUGCAUCACUACCAGAUGGACCUGCGUUGUAUUAGCUAGUUGGUGGGGUAACGGCUCACCAAGGCGACGAUACAUAGCCGACCUGAGAGGGUGAUCGGCCACACUGGGACUGAGACACGGCCCAGACUCCUACGGGAGGCAGCAGUAGGGAAUCUUCGGCAAUGGACGGAAGUCUGACCGAGCAACGCCGCGUGAGUGAAGAAGGUUUUCGGAUCGUAAAGCUCUGUUGUAAGAGAAGAACGAGUGUGAGAGUGGAAAGUUCACACUGUGACGGUAUCUUACCAGAAAGGGACGGCUAACUACGUG
RNAcentral lists this ribosomal RNA (497 nucleotides) under uncultured bacterium. Its description in RNAcentral is "partial 16S ribosomal RNA". It matches the Rfam family "Bacterial small subunit ribosomal RNA", at positions 28 to 507 of the family's 1533-position model. The record is from RNAcentral.